CGUACACUCCUACGGGAGGCAGCAGUGGGGAAUAUUGCACAAUGGGCGCAAGCCUGAUGCAGCCAUGCCGCGUGUAUGAAGAAGGCCUUCGGGUUGUAAAGUACUUUCAGCGGGGAGGAAGGCAAUACGGUUAAUAACCGUGUUGAUUGACGUUACCCGCAGAAGAAGCACCGGCUAACUCCGUGCCAGCAGCCGCGGGAAUACGGAGGGUGCAAGCGUUAAUCGGAAUUACUGGGCGUAAAGCGCACGCAGGCGGUCUGUCAAGUCGGAUGUGAAAUCCCCGGGCUCAACCUGGGAACUGCAUUCGAAACUGGCAGGCUUGAGUCUUGUAGAGGGGGGUAGAAUUCCAGGUGUAGCGGUGAAAUGCGUAGAGAUCUGGAGGAAUACCGGUGGCGAAGGCGGCCCCCUGGACAAAGACUGACGCUCAGGUGCGAAAGCGUGGGGAGCAAACAGGAUUAGAAACCCCUGUAGUCCCAU
Molecule: ribosomal RNA, 477 nt
Filed under: uncultured organism
Description: partial 16S ribosomal RNA
Rfam family: Bacterial small subunit ribosomal RNA
Source: RNAcentral